This 440-nucleotide ribosomal RNA is filed under the name uncultured bacterium. RNAcentral's name for it is "partial 16S ribosomal RNA". It matches the Rfam family "Bacterial small subunit ribosomal RNA", at positions 338 to 795 of the family's 1533-position model. The record is from RNAcentral.
CCUACGGGUGGCAGCAGUGGGGGAUAUUGCACAAUGGGGGAAACCCUGAUGCAGCGACGCCGCGUGUGGGAAGACGGUCCUCUGGAUUGUAAACCACUGUCCCCAGGGACGAAGAUGACGGUACCUGGGGAGGAAGCUCCGGCUAACUACGUGCCAGCAGCCGCGGUAAUACGUAGGGGGCGAGCGUUGUCCGGAAUUACUGGGUGUAACGGGAGCGUAGGCGGGGAUGCAAGUUGGGGGUCAAAACUACCGGCUCAACUGGUAGUCGCACUCAAAACUGCAGCUCUUGAGUGAAGUAGAGGCAGGCGGAAUGCGUGGUGUAGCGGUGAAAUGCGUAGAUAUUAGGAAGAACACCGAUGGCGAAGGCAGCCUGCUGGGCUUUUACUGACGCUGAGGCUCGAAAGUGUGGGGAGCAAACAGGAUUAGAUACCCUGGUAGUC